AGAAGCUGGAAGAAAGACACAAC
This 23-nucleotide non-coding RNA is filed under the name Arabidopsis thaliana (thale cress). Lineage: Eukaryota; Viridiplantae; Streptophyta; Magnoliopsida; Brassicales; Brassicaceae. The record is from RNAcentral.